This 497-nucleotide ribosomal RNA is filed under the name uncultured bacterium. Its description in RNAcentral is "partial 16S ribosomal RNA". It matches the Rfam family "Bacterial small subunit ribosomal RNA", at positions 28 to 507 of the family's 1533-position model. The record is from RNAcentral.
GAUGAACGCUCGCGGCGUGCCUAAUACAUGCAAGUCGAGCGAACAGACGAUGAGCUUGCGCCUCUGUCGUGAGCGGCGGACGGGUGAGUAACACGUGUAUAACCUACCUAUAAUACUGGUAUAACUUGGGGAAACCGGAGCUAAUACCGGAUAAGAUAUUGAACCGCGUUGUUCAAUGGUUAAAGACGGUUGUUCGGUCUCGUAUAGAUGGAUCCCCGCCGCUUUAGGUAGUUGGGAAGGUAACGGGUUACCAAGGUAACGAUGCGUAGCCGAACGGAGGGAGUGGUAGGCCACCUGGGAACGGAGCCAGGCUCCAGGCUCCUAAGGGACGGACCAGAAGCGAAUCUUCCGCAGUGGGCGGAAGAAUGACGGAGCGACGGCGAGUGAGUGACGAAGGUCUUCGGUUCGUAAAACUCUGCUAUUAGGGAAGAACAACUGUGUACGUAAAUAUGCACGUCUUGACGGUAACUAAUCAGAAAGCCACGGCUAACUACGUG